This 306-nucleotide long non-coding RNA is filed under the name Chinchilla lanigera (long-tailed chinchilla). RNAcentral's name for it is "lncRNA (ENSCLAG00000026753.1)". Lineage: Eukaryota; Metazoa; Chordata; Mammalia; Rodentia; Chinchillidae. The record is from RNAcentral.
AAGUUCUAUUUAUAUUGGACUAAAAUUAAUAACUCUUAUGAAUCCAGAGGACAAAUAGGAAGUAGACACAGAAAACCAGUGAUGAAUCCCUGAUGCUGUACUUUGAAAACCUUAGGGUAUAAACACUGAAGUCCCAGAGAAAAAUCUGAGAUGGUUGCUCUGGUCCUUACUUUGAGUGUCACUUCCUGGCUCCAAUGCCGAUCCCUCAGUCUGCUGGCACAGAUCCUUCAUCCCACCGGCACAGACUUUCUAGCUUCCAUCACUGAUAUUUGGGCCUCCCCGGUGCAGGAAUGCUGUGACAGUUAA